GUAGUGGAAAGUGGCAAACGGGCGAGUAACGCGUACUUAACCUGCCCUAGAGUAGUGAAUAACUAUGGAGACAUAGCUAAUACACUAUACGCUCAGAGGAAUGAAAAUACUCUGAGGAAAGAUUUAUCGCUCUUGGAGGGGGGUGCGAAGUAUCAGAUAGUUGGUGAGGUAACGGCUCACCAAGUCUAUGACGCUUAGUCGGUCUGAGAGGAUGUCCGGCCGCAAUGGAACUGAGACACGGUCCAUACCCCUACGGGGGGCAGCAGUGGGGAAUCUUGCACAAUGGGCGAAAGCCUGAUGCAGCGAUUCUGCGUGGAGGAUGACACCUUACGGGGCGUAAACUCCUUUUCUGGUGGAAGACGAAUGACGGUACACCAGGAAUAAGGGACGGCUAACUAUGUGCCAGCAGCCGCGGUAAUACAUAGGUCCCAAGCGUUAUCCGGAGUUACUGGGCGUAAAGCGUCUGUAGCCGGCUUAGUAAGUCUAUUUUCAAAUACUAUGGCUCAACCAUAGGAAGGGAGUGGAUACUGCUUAGCUAGAGGACCAUAAGGGGAUAGUGGAAUUUCCGGUGGAGCGGUGAAAUGUGUUGAUAUCGGAAGGAACGCCAAAAAGGCGAAAGCAGCUAUCUAUUAUGUAUCUGACGGUCAGAGACGAAAGUAUGGGUAGCGAAUGGGAUUAGAUACCCCAGUAGUCCAUACCGUAAAUGAUGUCCGCUAGAUGU
This 721-nucleotide ribosomal RNA is filed under the name uncultured organism. RNAcentral's name for it is "bacterial SSU rRNA". It matches the Rfam family "Bacterial small subunit ribosomal RNA", at positions 85 to 823 of the family's 1533-position model. The record is from RNAcentral.